Molecule: long non-coding RNA, 11837 nt
Filed under: Lathyrus oleraceus (garden pea)
Lineage: Eukaryota; Viridiplantae; Streptophyta; Magnoliopsida; Fabales; Fabaceae
Description: Pisum sativum (pea) long non-coding RNA (PSAT_LNC038515)
Source: RNAcentral
UUUUAAACAGUUAAAAAUAUGCACAAAAGCAUUUAACUCAUGAAAAAUAUCAAAAUUAAUCCAAAAAAUAAAUUUAAUUCAUAAAAUGAAAGAUAAAAAUAUUUAAAGAUUUUUGGUGAAAGUCUCAUAUUUUUUGGAUUAAAAAUGAAAUUAAUAAGAAUUAAACAAAAUAAAGCAAUUAAAUGAAAAAUUAGAAAAUACAAAAAAACAAGGGCCAUCAGAUCUCCCUCAUUAAUUGAGGUGGCAGAUCUGAUGGUCACGCGCGCGCUAUCCAUGGUGGACUUCAGUCAAAGCCCACAUGUGUGGUAAUCAAAACCAUGGGCCAAGAUUAGAACGCUGGACCAAGAUCAGGUGGUUGGAACCUUGCCAACACACCACCGGAGCCCUAGCUCCGGUCAUCUUCUCCGAUGAGGGCCACCGGACUGGUCCAACCUAAACUUCAUGAAAAAUGGAAAACAAGGACAAUAUUUUGAAGAGAAAAUGCUCAGGAACUCGAAUAUGGCCUCAAUUUUCUCCAAUUCCAAGUAUAUAAAAAGAUACAGGAAUUUGAAUUUUGAGGAUCAUGAACUGAGUUGCUUUGAUUUGACCUCAAAGCAACUCAAUCUUCUUGCCUACAUUGGUAGGACUUCAGCCAACCAAAAAUCACAAAGAAUAGUGAAGAAUUGAGAGAGAAUCGAAGAUAUGAAGUUUCUAAAAUUUAACCUUCGAGUAGCUUCAAUUCAGCUUGAUCUUGAUCUGGAUUUGCUUGAUUCUUCCUCCUCUUGCUUGCAAUGAUCAAUUGAGAUGGAAAGGGAAAUGAAUUCUUAGAGUUUGAACUUCAAAACAGAAGGUGAAAUUCAAACUCGAUUUCAAUGAAAUCCUCAAGAAAUUCUAUGGAAUGAGAGGUCUGAGUUCUCUUGGCAAAGCUUGGGCAAGGUGUUGAUGCAUUUCUGAGCUCAGGGCACUUGUAUUUAUAGGCUUACUCAAUGCUUUUUGCACACUUCAAUUAAAAAUCCAAAAAUAGCAAUGAUCUCAUGCAAGCUUGAAUGGGCGUGUACAAAGCCCAAUCAAUAAUGUCAAAGACUCCAAACUCAAUUCCAAAUGAUGCUGAAACGAAAUCAAGGGACCAUGCAAUGUUGACAUGAAAUUGGUUACAAAUCUUUCCAAAUGGGACCAUGCAUUACACUGAUGCGUAAGUCUCUCAAUUUUAAUCCAAAUGAUAUGAUCUUGGACUUUUUGGAAAGAUGAGAUCAAGGGAAACAACUUUCAUGUUUAACACUUUUUCAUUUGAAGCUUUGAUCAUGAUGAAUUUUGAGGUAGAAGUUUGGAAAAUCAAAUAUAUUUGAAAAGUUUCUAAGUACCAAGCCAAAUGUUCACUUCUUCCACCUUGAAUAACAUUUUCUAUGGACUUCAAAUGGAAAAAGUUCCUUCAUCAAAGUUGUAUAUAUUUCAAACCUAUUCAAUUUAGUCAAAAAAUUUACCUCAUUUAGAUUUGGCAUGAAGGAGUUAUGUAUUUUAGAAGUUGAGGAAAAUCACUUGUUCAGUGGUAAUGGCCCAAAAUAACCUAUAAUGUUUCCUCUUGGCACAUGAAUUUACAAGUUUAAUUUGAACUUCUUCCAAACAUAAAAGUUGGAAAGGACAUCUCGAAUUUGACCAUGAAACUUGAAUGGCUUUCAUUUCAUAAACAUUGAUAAAGUUAUGGUCUUUGGAAGUUGACCUCCUAACUAGGGUUUAGACAAAAUGACCUAUCAUCUUUCACCAUAAAAAAUGACUUUUUAAGCAAAACUGGCUCUUGACUUCGACAUAAAAGUUGUUUGAAAUGUAAUUUUUAGUAACGUUUCUCUUGGAAUAAUUUUCAUAUGACAAAAAUUGUAGGAGAUAGGGUCUAAGGAACCCCAGUUUUGACUAGUUGAUUUUCUCUAGUCAACCACCUUGAACCAACUUGCUAACUUGACAUUCUCUUGAUCUUUUAGACUCAUGCAGGAUCAUAUAUGUGUAAGAUGUAAUAUGAAUUAUCCCUUGAAAUACUUGAUCAAAUGUUGAAGAAACUUGAUGAGGAAGUCACACAAGAUACCUAGAUGAAUUAGGGCUUCCAAGGCAAACAAGCUUUAAACCCUUGAUGAAUUCUUGAUCAAAAUUAUAAAUGAAGAUCAUGGGGAUCCAUAUAUGAUGUCUAGAGUCAAUGUUAACCAUCUCUUGAUUGAUCUCCUUGCAUUGAGGGUCUCCAACCCUAGAUAUGAGCUUGUUAGGGCAAUGGUGGAUGCACACACUACCUACAAAAGGAACAAAGCUAUACAUGGACAUAUUUUUGGCAUUUUGUUUAAACAAAGAAAAAUAAAGUAUGAUACAAUCAAAUGUGCUUGGUGACCUCUCCCAAUACAAAUCCAAUGAAUGAGGGGUAAGGAGGAUGUCAAGGUGUGAUCCCAAUGCCAAUGCAUAUGAUGAGAUGGCAUGAGGGAUCUUAGGAUCAAAAUUGGAGUCUUACAUAAAUAUACACUUAUAUAUGUAUAUAAGUUAUUAAAAACUUUAUACUUUAUAUAAAUACUCACAAUAAUACUAAAAUAUAUGCUUUCUCUAAAUAAAGAUAUUUUUUUUUCAAUUAUGAAAAAUAUUAUUAAAAUAUAUUACUAAACUAAAAUUUUUUACUGUUCUUUUACUAAACUAUAUUAUAAUACUAAGUAAUACAUUUUUUUACUAAACUAUUUUUAAUACUGUUUUUUAUAAAAUAUAUAUUUUUCCUAUUUGUAGGCUAUUUUAAACUAAAUUUAUAAUAUAAUAUUUAUUAAAAAAAUCCGAAAAAACAAUUCUACUUAUUUAUACUCACUCAUUUUUCUCUAUUUAUAAUGUAUUAUCUAUUUAUUAUGUUUUUUGUACAGUUUUUUUAAAUGUUAUCAAUCUUUAAUACUGGCUUUUUUAUAAAAUAUUUAUUAUCCCUAUUUUGAAGGAUGGAGAAGGAAGAAAGAGAGAGAAAAAUAAUGGGAAGAAAAUGUUUCUCUGGGAAAUGAGAAGCGGAAGAGCACAAGUGUUAUUUCAAAGAAAAGAGAAAAUAUCGAUAAAAUUCAAGGGAAAGAUAAAAAGGGUAAAGAAGUCGGUUAUGCAAGGGGAAGAAGAUAUUAGCACCCCUGACAUCCGUUGUACUCAACGAGAACCAUUUUGAUUGUUCUUUGCGCGAAUAAAUGUUAUUAUCUAAAGGUUAUUUGCAACUGAUCUUAAUAAAGGGAAAACAUAAGUUUAUUAAUUAAUGUGUUCGCCAAGGAUUUGAGUCAUCGUUUCUGCAUAUUCUCAUAGUGCAAUGAGAAAAUCAGAGCUUCGUAGUUCGUGGUAGAAAAUUACGAACUUGUUGGUUAUUUUAGGAAACAGUUAUAAUCAUAUCCUAGAAGUUCUUUGACGUUAGCUAAUUCUAAUCCUCGCUCGAAUGCUUUAAGCUUUUACUUCGACUGCUAAGGAACGAAUUAUAACUGUUUUUUUAUGAAAAGAAAGUUGUUUUGUUUUAAAAAGGUUUUAUGAUUGAAUUGAAAAGGUUGUUUGUGGAUGAAAUUGGAAAAAAAAGGAUUUGUGAAAUGAUAAAAGUAUUGUUUGAACCAAGAGUGUGUGGUUUGAACCUAUAGAAUGGUGUCUAAACAAGAAAUGUGGCAUUUAACCAAUAACUGGUGAUUAGCCAAUGUAGAGUUGUAUGGUUUUAUCUAGAUCCAGGGAUCAAGACCUGCAAGAAGAGGGUGUUUGCAUAAGCAUGAGACUAAUAAGGCAAACAUGCAAGAGAUGACUUGCCCAAGCAUGAGACUAACAAGGAAAGCAAGAGACGAGGGUUUUCCUAAGCACUGGGUCUGACAAGGCAAACAUGCAAGAAGGGGUUUGCCUAAGCAUGAGACUAACAAGGCAAACAUGCAUGAAAUGGUUUGUCUAAACAUGGGACUAACAAGACGGGUAUGCAUGAAAAGGGUUUUUCUAAACACGGGGUCUGACGAGACAAAAAUAAAAGGAUUAGGGGGUAUGCCUAAGCAUGAGACUAAUAGACAUACAUGCAUGAGAAUGAAAGGUUUGUCUAAGCAUGAGACUAAUAAGGCAAACAUGCAUGAAAUGGCUUACCAAAGCAUGAGACUAAUAAGGUAAGCAUGCAUGAGGAAAGUUUUAACCAUGAAAAGAUUAUUAACCCAUGCAGGAGUCGUUUAACCAAUAACUGGUGAUUAACCUCAAGUGUUUUAUGUGGUUUAUAAAUGGGUGUUUAACCUAGAGGAGGUGAUUAACACAUAAUUGAUUAUUAACUCCAAUGCUUUAAUGACUCCCCUCACAAAAUGAGCGAUCAUAUUUUGCUGGGAUAUCCCCUCGCAAAAGAAACAAAUGUCGGGCGAAUCAUUAAAGCAUUGGAGUGCCCCUCUCAACAGCAACAAAAAUAGUUAGUUUGGGACCCUUACAAACACUCACAUUAAAUGAUACAAAUUCCAUCUGUAUUGGUUUAUUGAAAAAAUCAAUUUCAAAAUUUAAUUUUUUUCUCGUUUAAUUUUAUGAGAGUAAUCCAAACGCCAAUUAAUUUUUUAAAUUUUGUUUUUCAUUUUAUACUUUGCGAGGGAUUUAACCUCAAAUAUUUAGCUACGGAUUUUAUUCCUGACAAUUUUUCCUUUGCAAAAUAGAUUUUUCUUAGUGUCAUGUAGUGUGAAAGUUAACGUAUAUAAAAUAAAAUUACCACAUUAUAUUACAAAUAUUAACUUAUUUCAUUCACUAUUAUAUAAUAUCUGUAAAAAAAAUUAUUAAUCUCAAAAUUAAAUAACAUAAUUAAUUUUAUAAUAUUUAUCGCAAAACAAAACGAGACAAUUAAUUUAUGAGAAUUUGUGAUAUUGCUAACAAGACAAUUUUAUUAAUUUACAAGUGAUUUUUUUUCAUUUUGUAAGUCAUCUAUUAUGUGUCUAUUGACACAAAUUGCAAAACACAAUUUUAGCGUCCAUCAUAUGUAUCCAAAAAUUUAUAAUGAGCAAAUAACGUCAAGAUUUUCUAAACAAAUUAUUUUUUAAAAAAAACAAAUAAAAUUUCUCAUUAUAGCUAAUCAUUUGGAACACAUGGUAUUCGGUUCUUGUGGGUAUUAGCUUUGAUCUUUAUGAAUUAAUCUUUUAACCAUAUUGAGAUUAAGAACAAUUAAAUCCUGAGAAUCCAAAUUUUUUAUGUUAAUAGAAAAUAUAUAAAUUUAUUAUAUUCCUCACUCAUAAUUAAUCUCUAAUCAUAUAUUUCUCACAAAUUUAAUAUCCUCAAAAAACAUUAGUGCUGAAGUUAAAUAAUGAUAUGAGCAAGGAUAAAAAAAAUAACCUUUAAAUUUAUGAAAUGUUGAUCUAUCAAAUAUUAUAGAAAUAUUUGAAUGGAUUAAAGGAAAAAACUCUCUAAAUAAUGACGACAAUAAUUUUAAGACACAGGGAAAGAAAGAAAAAUGAUGUAGGUUUGUUGACUUGUGGUUUAUCCUCAACGUAAAUUUCUCAUACCUUAAAUUUCUUCAAAUAAAAAGAAUAGAUGACAUAUAACUUGCUCAAUAUAUUAUUAAAGCCCAUAUAUAUAUAUAUAUAUAUAUAUAUAUAUAUAUAUAUAUAUAUAUAUAUAUAUAUAUAUAUAUAUAUAUACUCUCUNNNNNNNNNNNNNNNNNNNNNNNNNNNNNNNNNNNNNNNNNNNNNNNNNNNNNNNNNNNNNNNNNNNNNNNNNNNNNNNNNNNNNNNNNNNNNNNNNNNNNNNNNNNNNNNNNNNNNNNNNNNNNNNNNNNNNNNNNNNNNNNNNNNNNNNNNNNNNNNNNNNNNNNNNNNNNNNNNNNNNNNNNNNNNNNNNNNNNNNNNNNNNNNNNNNNNNNNNNNNNNNNNNNNNNNNNNNNNNNNNNNNNNNNNNNNNNNNNNNNNNNNNNNNNNNNNNNNNNNNNNNNNNNNNNNNNNNNNNNNNNNNNNNNNNNNNNNNNNNNNNNNNNNNNNNNNNNNNNNNNNNNNNNNNNNNNNNNNNNNNNNNNNNNNNNNNNNNNNNNNNNNNNNNNNNNNNNNNNNNNNNNNNNNNNNNNNNNNNNNNNNNNNNNNNNNNNNNNNNNNNNNNNNNNNNNNNNNNNNNNNNNNNNNNNNNNNNNNNNNNNNNNNNNNNNNNNNNNNNNNNNNNNNNNNNNNNNNNNNNNNNNNNNNNNNNNNNNNNNNNNNNNNNNNNNNNNNNNNNNNNNNNNNNNNNNNNNNNNNNNNNUAUAUAUAUAUAUAUAUAUAUAUAUAUAUAUAUAUAUAUAUAUAUAUAUAUAUAUAUAUAUAUAUAUAUAUAUAUAUAUAUAUAUAUAUAUAUAUAUAUAUAUAUAUAUAUAUACCCUCUCGGCCACUACACAAAAAUUUAGAAAAGUUAUUUUAAUAUUAAGUUUAUCAAUAUCAUUAUUACAAGAGAGAAAUGAUUACUCUUUUGAUUCUUCCCAUUCAAAUUUUUAGUAUUUUUGAGGGGAAAAAUCAUUAGUAUGUAUGAUAUUAAUUUUUACAUAGUAUAGGUAUACAAAAUUAUUCUCUACCACAACCAUUUAAAAGUACUACUUUAAAUAUAAUUAAGAUGAAAAUUAAAUAUUUGCAAGAACCUACUGCUACAAUGAAUUGAUGUAAGAGAAUGCAUACGAAUUAAAUUCGUCUGAUAAUCAGAAAAGAAUCUGAUAAAUGAAACAAUAAAACUUAAAAAGAUUUGUCAUAGAUAAUAGUUUACUAUUAAAAUAGAAAACACAUAGAUUAAAAAAAUAUUAUGAUAGAAGAAUAACAAAAAAGCAAGAGCAUUUUGUGGAACCAGUACUCCAAUCAUUCUAGUAAUAGUUUAACAAAUUAUUUGUUUAAAACUUCAAAUGAGCUUCUUCUCUCUGUUUUGUGUUUAUCUCCCUUAUAUAGUGGAAUACAAUUUGUUAAAAACCUAGAACAUGUGAUUGUCUAUAUCUUUAAAUCACCACCCUAGAAAAUAAAUAAUUUAUAAUAUGCAUAUUUAUUAUCACCCACCCUUGUUGAAUGAGAAUAAGGUUCUUUUUUUACUACACAGCAUUCAAAGAAAUUCUUAAUAAAGUGCUAUCCUGCAAGCAUAUUGGUUAAAUAUUUCUUUUUUAUGAUUAUGUUAUAUUAAAAUAAAAUAUAAAUAAUGGCGAAGAAUUAUCCUGAGUGAAGCUACUAUAAGAGGUGGACAAAUGGCAUCCAAUUCUUAUCUUCUGUUUCUAUAAGCCAACAACUAAAUAAUGGUUAUUAGUGAAUGUUCUUGGAGGAUAUCUUCAAAGUAGUUUACAACUUCAUUUAUUUGAUUUUAGCAAUGAUUUGAAUAUAUUUAUUUUCAUUUUCUCUCCAAAUAAACAGGGAUGAUCUACAUAGUAUAAAAUGGGGGCGUGUGUAUGGUACAAACUAUAUAUAUAUAUAUAUAUAUAUAUAUAUAUAUAUAUAUAUAUAACCUAUUAUUCNUAACGUAUAUAAAUAAAAUUACCACAUUAUAUUACAAUAUUAACUUAUUUCAUUCACUAUUAUAAUAUCUGUAAAAAAAUUAUUAUCUCAAAAUUAAAUAACCAUAAUUAAUUUAUAAUAUUUAUCGACAAAACGAGACAAUUAUUUAUGAGAAUUUGUGAUAUUGCUAACAAGACAAUUUUAUUAUUUACAAGUGAUUUUUUCAUUUUGUAAGUCAUCUAUUAUGUGUCUAUUGACACAAAUUGCAAAACACAAUUUUAGCGUCCAUCAUAUGUAUCCUCUUUUAUAAUGAGCAAAUAACGUCAAGAUUUUCUAAACAAAUUAUUUUUAAAAAAAACAAUAAUUUCUCAUUAUAGCUAAUCAUUUGGAACAUGGUAUUCGGUUCUUGUGGGUAUUAGUUUGAUCUUUAUGAUUAAUCUUAACCAUAUUGAGAUUAAGAACAAUUAAUCCUGAGAUCCAAAUUUUUAUGUUAAUGAAAAUAUAUAAAUUUAUUAUUCCUCACUCAUAAUAAUCUCUAAUCAUAUAUUUCUCACAAUUUAAUAUCCUCAAAAAACAUUAGUGCUAAGUUAAAUAAUGAUAUGAGCAGGAUAAAAAAAAUAACCUUUAAUUUAUGAAAUGUUGAUCUAUCAAUAUAUAGAAUAUUUGAAUGGAUAAGGAAAAACUCUCUAAAUAAUGACGACUAAUUUUAAGACACAGGAAGAAAGAAAGAUGAUGUAGUUUGUUGACUGUGGUUUAUCCUCAACGUAAAUUUCUCAUACCUUAAAUUUCUUCAAUAAAAAGAAUAUAUGACAUAUAACUUGCUCAAUAUAUUAUUAAGCAUAUUAUAUAAUAAUAUAUAUAUUAUAUAUUUUAUUAUAUAUUAUUUAUAUAUAUAAUAUAUAUAUAUAUUAGUAUAUAUAUAAUUAUUAUUAUAUAAUAUUAUUAAUAUAUUAUAUAUAUAUAUAUAUAUAUAAAUCUCCUCGCCACUACACAAAAAUUAGAAAAGUUAUUUAAUAUUAAGUUAUCAUAUCAUUAUACAAGGAGAAAUGAUUACUCUUUUGAUUCUCCAUUCAAAUUUUAGUAUUUUUGAGGGGAAAAAUCAUGUAUGUAUGAUAUUAAUUUUUAGUCAUAGUAUACAAAAUUAUUCUCUACCACAACCAUUAAAAGUACUACUUUAAAUUAAUUAAGAUGAAAUUAAUAUUUGCAAGAACCUCUGCUACAAUGAAUUGAUGUAAGGAAUGCCAUACGAAUUAAAUUGCGUCUGAUAAUCAGAAAAGAAUCUGAUAAUAAUAAUAAGAAUAGAUAAUAUGUUUAACUAUUAAAAUAGAAACACAUAGAUUAAAAAAUAUUAUAAGAAGAAAGAACAAUAGAGCAUUUGUGGAACCAGUACUCCAUUUCUAGUAAUAGUUUAACAAAUUAUUUGUUUAAAAUUCAAAAUGAGCUUCUUCUCUCUGUUUGGUGUUUAUCUCCGUUAUAUAGUGGAAUACAAUUGUAAAACUAGAACAUUGAUUGUCUAUUCUUAAAUCACACCCUAGAAAAAUAAUUUAUAAAUAUGCAUAUUUAUUAUCACCCACCUUGUUGAAUGAGAAUAAGGUUUUUUUUACUACACAGCAUCAAAGAAAUUCUUAAUAAAGUGCUAUCCUGCAAGCUAUUGGUUAAUAUUUUCUUUUUUAUGUUAUUUAUAUUAAAAUAAAUAUAAAUAAUGGCGAGAUAUCCUGAGUGAAGCUACUUAAGAGGUAGGACAAAUGGCAUCCAAUCUUAUCUUCUGUUUCUAUAAGCCAACAACUAAAUAAUGUUAUUAGUGAAUGUCUUUGAGGAUAUCUUCAAAGUAGUUUACAACUUCGUUUAUUUGAUUUUAGCAAUGAUUUGUAUUUAUUUUCAUUUUCUCUCAAAUAAACAGGGAUGAUCUACAUAGUUACAAAUGGGGGCGUGUGUAUGGUAAAACAUAUAUAUAAUAUAUAGUUUAUAUUUUUAUAUAAAUAAUAACCUCUUUUGCUUUGGGUCAACCUAUUAUUCUUUCGGGUUUUUUAAAAAUCGAGAAGAUAUAACUAUAAAAAAUUUCGUUUCGAAUCUUCAUUACUGCAUUUUAUAUUUUCUCAUAAAUUUAAUCUUUUUUUUAGUUUCCGUCUUUUCAGCUUCCAUUUUUUUCUUCAUUUUUAUUAAUAUUAACUUCGAUUACAUACUUCAACUGAGAGGUAAUAUAUUUUGCAUUAAUAUUUUUAAAUUAUUUUUUUUAAAAGUUCUUUUUAUUUUUUUUAUUUUAUAUAUUCAUAUCUCUCAAUUUUUUUAUUUUAUAAAAGAACCGACGUGAUAGAUAUUUUAAAUGUAUUCCUAGAAUAUGGCGCUAUGGUUUUUUUACAUUUCUUUUUAUUUUUAAUUAAAACAUACACGUCGAUUUUAUUUGAAAAAAUCGAUGUGAUUUCUAUCUUGCAUGAAAUAUUUCAGAGAACUAGAUUCUAAUUUUUAAUUAUUUAUCAAUGCUCUAACUUCAUAUUAUCAUUCUCUUCGCAAAAUCCUGGACGAUUUUCAUCGUAAUUCUCAUAAAAAUGCUUCCAACUAUUGACAUUCAUCAACAUUCGAGCACCAAAAGUCAUCACGUUUAAUUUGUUCUUCUUUUUCAAGUUUGUUCUUCUUCCAACAAUAGGUUUAUAUCACUGAAAUGUCUUUCAUGUUCUAUGAGUUGUUUUUCACUUGCAUUUGUUUAUAAUUUGUUUUUCCAUUUUGAUCACUGGAAUGUUGUUAGUUAGUAUGUUUCUAUAUGUUGUUUAUCACUGAAAUGAUGUUAGUUAGUAUGUUUAUAAGUGUUGUUUGAUUCACGUUGGUGUCUAUGCUAUUUUUCUUUAUUUAUAUAGUCAUAGCCGAUUCGACAAGCAUCUCUCAUACAACAACUGUUGCAACCUCUAUUAAUACAAAAUGUAAAAGAAAAAGUAGAGAUGCCACGAUGUAUACCAAGGUGAAAAAAGCUCACGAAAAGGGUAUUCACCGUCCGGUUACAAUUGAUGUUGCAACCGACAAGACUUAUGGUGAAAAUGUUGAGGACUUUAUGGGUUACAUUGCGUUAUAAGGUAGUAUUUUGAUAGAUAGUUGGCACAACGUUGAAGAUGAUUUGAAAAACAACAUAUGGACCGAUAUUACGGUAUUUAUUUUGAAUUUUAUGAUUUUUUUUUCAAGUAUAUAUGAUCAUUUAUUUAUUUUUUGUUUAAUACCAAUAACAACUGUAUUGUGUAAAUAUAGGAGGUGUUUGAUGUUAGUCUAGAUGAUAGUAUGGUGAAAAAAAAAUUACUUACACAUGUCGGUGAGCAUUGAAGGGGCUUUAAGACACAACUCACCCAUAAUUAUAUUAAUAAUCCAAGAGAUGAAGAUGACCUUGAAUAUAAGCCUUCAUACUUGAUGUAUUCAUUUAUUGAUCAGGAUGUUUGCGAGAAAUUUAUAAAGUCUCGCACCACUCCUGAAUUUUUGACUGAGAGCGAAAAAGGAAAGUAUAAUAGAUCUAGAAAUAUCUAUCCAUAGAGGUUGUCCCGUGGAGGAUAUGAAAAACUUUAAAAUAAGAUUAUUGAAGAAAAAAGAAAACAAAGAUAAUUGGAGUUGAGAGAUUCUAUAAGCCCUUAUUGCACUUCAUUUCCAUUAUCACGCCAUGAGAAAUGAAAGAGGGCACGUCAAAGAAAAGGCCCGAGUUCACGUCAGAGGCUACACGUGAAGUGGAUGAAAAGAUUACAAGUUGAUACUUUUUUCAACAAUAUUUAUUUUAUUUAAAUAAAUUUGGUAAAUAUGAAAUUUUAUAUGUGUUGUACGAUGUACUGGGUGAACAAAUUAAAGUCGGCCUCUUCGUUCCAUAAGAUUGUCAUGACAUCUUGGUAGAAGCGAUUGGGACCGAGGAGCAUCCUGAGCGUGUACGUGGUCUUAAAGAGGCGUUGACUUCAAGUCACAUUUUUUACCAUCUAAAUCAUGUAAAAAAGUAAAUUAUAUGAGAGAUAUUGAAGAGAUAGUUGUUGUAUAGGUGGGGGAGGUAAGGGAGAAGUAGAUUCAGGAGGAGGGGGAGAGCUUGUUGUAGUAGGUGUGGGAGACCGUCUAGAAGGAGCAAGAGGAGCAAGAGAGGUUGGCCAAGGAGGAGAGAAAUAAGUCGAAGGAGGAAGAUCUUGAGAGGAAGUCCGAAAAGUGUACUUGCGAUAUGGUUGAGGUAUAAGUAUAAGUUUAAAAAAAUUGUUGUAUGUUUUUGUUUUUAUUGUUUGUAUAUUUUAAUUUGUUUGUUGUAUUUAUAUUGUUUUUAUGAUGUAGAAAUUGAAUUCAUUGGGUCUACUCAACCGAUCAAUUUCAAAUGCUCAAUUGUGCAGUCAUGAUAAAGUUAUGGAUGGUACAAGCACGAAAGAAAGUUGUUAUUGUUGGUGUAAGCCCUAGAGGCCAAUACUUUUGGUACUUGUAUCGAAUUAUUUAUUAAUAAUAAAAGGCAUUUUCUUUAUUAUGGUUGAUUAA